Molecule: long non-coding RNA, 2379 nt
Filed under: Homo sapiens (human)
Lineage: Eukaryota; Metazoa; Chordata; Mammalia; Primates; Hominidae
Description: long independently transcribed non-coding RNA 2331, transcript variant 1 (LINC02331)
Source: RNAcentral
AUUUAGAGGGACUCUCUAACCUGAGUACACAUUUGAAACAUCUGAGGGCUUUGAAACAUACCUGCUCCUGGACCACCUGCUGAACCAAUUAAAUCAGAAUUUCUGUUGUGAAGAUCUCCACGUGAGUUUAAGCUUUCCUGCUCAACUGUUAGUUCCAUGAAGGCAACAGCCAUGCCUGCUUCGUUCACUGAAAUAUCUUCGUUUCCUAACACACAGAAAGUCAUCAUUUUUUGACGGAUGAAAGAAUGGAUGAAUGCCUAGUCUUGGAGACAUCUACUUGCAAUAAAGGUUGGGGAAGUUCUCCUGGAUAAUAUCCUGAAGAGUGUUUUCCAGCUUGGUUCCAUUCUCCCGGUCACUUUCAGGUGAAGAAACAGAGGCAAAGGGAGCAUAAGCAAUUUUCCAAAGGCCAUACAACAUGUAAGUGGCUGAGCCAAGACUGAAAUCACCAGGUUCUUAACCACUAGGCCAUAUUGCAUUGGAGUGUUGCCUCCUGGAGUAAGACUAGGCUAAAAGCUUCAUAGAAACCUAAAGGAGUUAGAGAAGGAAGAUCUCUCAAUGGAAAUGCUAAGAAGAGACACAAGGAAAGACACAUCACUAAGGAGAGACCCAAGGAAAAUGGCUCUAUGACUACAGUCCAUUUAAAGAAUGAGGGCGUUCCUUCUACCAAGUUACAGGUGGAGAUGUGUUUACCUGCUGGAUACCAAUGCUUCUAGCAUCAGGGAGAAGUUGAGCCCUGGAGGAAACAUUGCCUCUAAGUUUGUGUUCUGGUGCUACAUACUGCAAAGCAAAGUAUCUACAACAACUGCAAUAAGCCACCCUGAUCAUUCUUCAACCUAAAGAUUUGCAACUCAUCCAAGUUCAACUGGUUGAAAGAGCCUGCCUCCUCACAGCAGUGCCUGAUUGACACUAUGAACUGAAAUACUAAAGGCACUUCUUCUUUCAGGAUAACUGAUUAAAUGUUCUGGCUGGUAAAGCAGGUCAUCACUCAACUGUUGUGGCUUUGGCAAGAUGCCACCAAAGCAGCCCAUCAUGGUUGGCAGAGAUGUAAAGGCCCCACAUAUUACAGAACACCCUUUGAUAUGCAGACUAAUUAAUAGAAGACCUAAGCCUUUCAAGGGACUUCUAUACCAUAGGAUGUUAGGAGACAUCAAGAACACAAAUGAAACUAAGAUUUUCAUACAGGGUUCAGGUUUUGUUACUUCAGAUCUAUAAUCUAAAGUUCUGUAAUCAUCACAUCACUCCAAGAACAAAAUUUGAUAGGCAAAAUUCUUCACACUCAUUUCAUGGAGAACCUUGAGGGUCCAGAGUGAGGCUUGAUGGCAAGCAGGAGCUCCCUGUCCCCUGUCUCCACCCAUGCAACCCCUAGCUCCCCCAUUGUUUUCACUCUAGAUUUGUGAAGUAUAACAACCUUAAAAUCUUAAGAUUUAAUCUUUAAAUAUUAAGAGAUUUGGGUUUCUGUAUCAACAAUCUUUAAAUAUUAAGAGAUUUUUCCGAAGAUUAAUGACUUUCCUAGAGUUGGCCUACAAAUUCACCACCUCAACUGGAUGACUUGCUUUGGAAUAAAUUUCUAACACCGCAAGUGAAUUGAAUAUUUUCUUCCUUUUUUAUGUAAUCUAAUAUAGUACAUUUUUAAAAAUUUAUAGGAUGUCCAGACACUUAUAGCUUAUCAUUCUAUGAUUCAAAAGAAUUUGGUAUAAUUGCAUUGAUAAGCUUACUGCCCUGGGCACCAAAGUAACCUAGAAUAUGGAGAAGUAGCUUUUGGUGACAUGCAUCUAUUUAUAUCUCUAGCAUUUACUAAUUAAUUAAUUUGUUUAACAAAUACACAUUCAGUACCAUUAUAUGUUUGGCAUUGUCAUAGAUGUUAGAAAAUCAAAUAUAAAAAAGAGGUAAUUUCUUCACAACACACGGAAAUAAGAGUAUCUCUAGGAAUUGUCUCUAGUUGAAAUUGUUUUCUCCUACCCACCUCUACGAUUCAUCAAUUUAGCUUUCCUUCACUGUAGUGACAGGUGUUUUAAUCUCACCUAACAAUAUGCCUGAUUAAGCUUCAACAUACACAGAGAGAGGCCUGAAAAACAUAACUUGGUCUCUAUGUCUAAGUUUAUGUUGUUAGUAAUAGUUAUAAGAGCCACAGCGAUGGCACCAUGGCGUUACCUUCUCUGAAGGCUUUCCCAGCUUUCCUAGCAAAGCUCUUUUCUCUUCCCUCUGGUUAAAAAAUAAAUAAAAAAAAAAUAAAGGUUUUUCCUUUAUUGUUAUUCUUAUGUGUCUGAUUUUAUCACAUUUAUUGUUUUGUUUUCUGAUUGUAUAAGUCAUACAUGCUCAUUUAGAAAACUUGGAAACUAUGGAAAAAGAGAAAUAAAAAAUAAAAUCCACUCUAAUCUA